GUUCCAACUGUUAUGAGAAAAUUAGAAAAAAAUUAUAAAAUCAUCCCUCUAAGUUUGAGUUAUUUAUAUUUAAAUCCUAAAAGUUUAAAAAAUAUCAACUUGAUUCCAAAACUUUAAAAUCGUUGCAAUGUCGUCUAGCUGUCUAUCUUCAUUAGCGAACGUUAUCACGUGAUGGUUAUUUGAUAGCUGAUUUUUUAUAAAAUUUUAUAAUUGCUCUUUUCACUACCUUAGCAAAAGACUCUUAUUUUUGUGAGAAUUGAAAAGAAGGAAAGUAACAUUUUAACAUCUGUGGGGGCAAAUCAAGGACAAAAAUUAAAUGCUUUAAGAUUUAUGCAAGCAUAUAAAUGACAAUAGAUGGAGCUCUUUAAGAUUUAUAUAGGCUGAUGAAUGAAAAUAGUUGGAUGCCUUAAGAUCAUUGUGUAAAUGAUGAAGUGCUUUGAGAUCUAUAAAAAUGGAUGGAUGAUGGAGAAUGAGCCACUUUGAGAUUUGUACAUGCAGAUAGAUGAUAAAAGAUGGAGCACUUCAAAAUCCAUAUAAGUGGAUGAAUGAGAGGAUGGAGCGCUUCGAGAUUUGUAUAAACAAAUAUAUGAUAGAAAAUGAAGUGCUUUGAAUCUGUAUAAGUAGAUGGAUGAUAAAGGUGCACAUCCAGAUUUGUGCAAGCGAAUAGAUGAUAGAGGAUAUAGUACUUUAAGAGUUAUAUAGGCCAAUGAAUGAUUGAGGAUAGAGUACUUCAAGAUCUAUGCAAGUGGAUAUUCAAGAUCUAUGCAAGUGGAUAGACAAUAGUAAAUGGAGUGCUUUCAGAUUUGUGUGGGCAAAUGGAUGAUAAAUAUUAGAUGAUAUAGAAUUAAGUACUUUGAGAUAUGUGCAGAUGGAUAGAUAACAGAGAAUAAAGCACUUUGAGUAUGUGCCAGU
This 912-nucleotide long non-coding RNA is filed under the name Elaeis guineensis (African oil palm). Its description in RNAcentral is "long non-coding RNA (EGUI_LNC012041)". Lineage: Eukaryota; Viridiplantae; Streptophyta; Magnoliopsida; Arecales; Arecaceae. The record is from RNAcentral.